RNAcentral lists this long non-coding RNA (1236 nucleotides) under Olea europaea (common olive). RNAcentral describes it as "long non-coding RNA (OEUR_LNC009602)". The record is from RNAcentral. Lineage: Eukaryota; Viridiplantae; Streptophyta; Magnoliopsida; Lamiales; Oleaceae.
UUGAAGCUUGUGAAUCUGGAAGUAUCUUUGAGGGUCUUCUUCCUGAAGGCAUGAAUAUAUAUGCAACCACUGCAUCCAAUGCGGAAGAGAGCAGUUGGGCAACCUAUUGCCCAGGAGACUAUCCUAGUCCUCCACCCGAAUACGAAACCUGCUUGGGUGACUUGUAUAGUGUUGCCUGGAUGGAGGACAGGUGUGCAUUACUUUUUUAUUGUGUCAAUCAUCAUUAAAAGAUCAACAUAGGUAUCGGGAAAAAAUUAUUUGCAUCAUUAGUUGAGAUAGUUGGAUUGUUCAAGCUUUAUCUGCUGGAAGCAGAAAUAUUAAUUAACCAAAAGCAGAUUUGGUAACAUUAUAUAGUGGAUAAAUUAAAGGAAAAGAAUAAGGUUAUCUUGAUAAUAAUAUAAUUUUGAGGGGUUAUGACUAGAGUAUUUAUUGACCGUAUUUGGCUUUUUGUUCGUUAAUUGACAUUCAAAUCUCUGUCUUCAUGAGCAGUGAUAUACACAAUCUGCGGACUGAAACUUUGAAGCAACAAUACCAAGUGGUAAGAUCAUGAGGCCAGCUAUAUGAUCAACUUGAGCAGUUUGUUUAAACUAGUUCCCCUUAGGCAUCAUUUGUCCCUUUGCUUGUGUCUUAUGGAUUUAUUAUGUUGGCAUUUUCAGGUCAAAAAGAGAACUUCAAAUGAUAAUUCUUACUACGACGGAUCCCAUGUCAUGCAAUAUGGUGAUCUACAGCUAAGCUUGGAGCAUCUUUUCGUGUAUAUGGGUUCAAAUCCCGCAAACGAUAAUUUCACCUUUGUGGAUGACAAUUCCCUGCGGCCAUCUUCAAAAGCCGUUAACCAGAGAGAUGCUGAACUUUUGCAUUUCUGGAAUAAGGUAUGCACGGCUUUUGUUUUUACAACAUCGACUCCUCUUUAUGCUUCAAUAUUUGUUUCUAGAUGGUAGCUUUUGGGGUUAAUGUGCAGACAUUGUGUAGAAGCUCCAAGAAUUGAAACAAUGUAAUGUGCACCAUAGUUUGCUUAAAAAAUCAGAUGCAAACAUAUAUAAACUUAUAUGUAAUAAAUAUGAAUCAAAUUUUUUACAUUCAUUUGCCGUAAUUCGUCCUUCAAUUUGUUGUGUAUGUAUAAUUGACUGGUGCUGGAUAUAUUCAUCCCAUGACACUGUUGAUUCGAGAGUGAGUUUCAAGUUUGGAUAUAUCAUCAGCUUUUUUGGGCAAAUCUUAUUUACUCACCCUUAUCCCACG